Molecule: ribosomal RNA, 900 nt
Filed under: Escherichia coli
Lineage: Bacteria; Pseudomonadati; Pseudomonadota; Gammaproteobacteria; Enterobacterales; Enterobacteriaceae
Description: bacterial SSU rRNA
Rfam family: Bacterial small subunit ribosomal RNA
Source: RNAcentral
UGACGAGUGGCGGACGGGUGAGUAAUGUCUGGGAAACUGCCUGAUGGAGGGGGAUAACUACUGGAAACGGUAGCUAAUACCGCAUAACGUCGCAAGACCAAAGAGGGGGACCUUCGGGCCUCUUGCCAUCGGAUGUGCCCAGAUGGGAUUAGCUAGUAGGUGGGGUAACGGCUCACCUAGGCGACGAUCCCUAGCUGGUCUGAGAGGAUGACCAGCCACACUGGAACUGAGACACGGUCCAGACUCCUACGGGAGGCAGCAGUGGGGAAUAUUGCACAAUGGGCGCAAGCCUGAUGCAGCCAUGCCGCGUGUAUGAAGAAGGCCUUCGGGUUGUAAAGUACUUUCAGCGGGGAGGAAGGGAGUAAAGUUAAUACCUUUGCUCAUUGACGUUACCCGCAGAAGAAGCACCGGCUAACUCCGUGCCAGCAGCCGCGGUAAUACGGAGGGUGCAAGCGUUAAUCGGAAUUACUGGGCGUAAAGCGCACGCAGGCGGUUUGUUAAGUCAGAUGUGAAAUCCCCGGGCUCAACCUGGGAACUGCAUCUGAUACUGGCAAGCUUGAGUCUCGUAGAGGGGGGUAGAAUUCCAGGUGUAGCGGUGAAAUGCGUAGAGAUCUGGAGGAAUACCGGUGGCGAAGGCGGCCCCCUGGACGAAGACUGACGCUCAGGUGCGAAAGCGUGGGGAGCAAACAGGAUUAUAUACCCUGGUAGUCCACGCCGUAAACGAUGUCGACUUGGAGGUUGUGCCCUUGAGGCGUGGCUUCCGGAGCUAACGCGUUAAGUCGACCGCCUGGGGAGUACGGCCGCAAGGUUAAAACUCACAUGAAUUGACGGGGGCCCGCACAAGCGGUGGAGCAUGUGGUUUAAUUCUAUGCAACGCGAAGAACCUUACCUGGUCUUGAC